UCAUCGCAUGUUUCCGUGAUUAAGAUUUAUAACGAUAACAAAUAAAGCCAUUUCGGAACUGACCUAAGAUAGAGGGCCACAGGUGAGGAGGUGGCCUACCAGAUGUGUCCCACCAAUAUGUCAUACCGAUGAUGUAUGCAAAUGAGGUGAUAUUGUUCCUACAGACAGGUAUAUAAACGACGCACGACACGCCGGCUGAAUCUUUCCCCAGCAUCUGAUAACUGAUUUGUGUGAACCAGGAAUCAACGGUUGUUUAUCACACUUUUCAAAUUUGUCUCUAUUAAGAAAGACCAUGUCUAAGCUUCAGAUUCUGAUUGUCGUGUUUUUGGUGUGUUCGUUCCUUGCUGUGACGAUUGCACAGUCAGAUGGACUAGCGGCCAUGUUCCUCAUGAUGCAAAACAACAGGAACCAACCUUACGGAACCAGACGUAGUCCGUUAUCAGGACUGAUGCAAUGGUUAAUGCUGGAGAAUUUAGACUAUAUUUGAAGCAACCGUCGGAUUGAAGAUAUUUCAUCCUGGUUGCGACAACAAGACAUGGCGGUGGUUCAAAAACUUUCGAGACAAAGGCACCAACAUUUCGAUCAUUCUCAUCAAUUUUCGUCUUCAUUUGUAUUGCAUAUAUGGACGGACAAACAUCGUUCAAUCAUUAUCCAACCAAAAUUGUUGAUGUUUCGAUGACAUCCCGAAGAAUAAGUUGAAUUUUUGCCUACGUCAAUCUGGAUUUAAGUACCUUAGAAUAUCGACAUAUGAACAUUGGCCACAUAAUCCAAAAAAAAAAAAAGAAUGACAUUUAGUUAUUUCCAAAAACAAAUAGCCGUAUAUCGCGUGAACAUGUUCCAUAAGAGAUUAAUUUAGUUUAUAAAAAAUGAUUUAACUAAUUUUACAUUAUAUCUAUCUCGGCUGAUAAUAAGUUUAUUGUAAAAUUAUUUUAUAAAAGAUUUCGCGGAUAAAUGUCCAAUUCAUGUAGCUCUAGUAUUUAGUUCAUGGGGAAAGUUUUCCUUUAGUAUUUAUUUCAUUCCCCUAGUUUCGCCAUAAUGCAUCUUCUAGCAUCCCCCAAUCACACAUCGAGAGAGCUCCUUGUAGUACGCCUACACGUGUCUUAAAUCCUUUAGUUAGACAAUUGAUAUACAUUGUACCUACAGCACGCUAACUGAGACAACAAGAAGAUGCUGAAGAGAUGGGCAUCUUUUUUAUUCGGGACCUUACUUACAAAAUGAUGAACAUGGGUGUACUUAUAGAAGUGAUAGAUGUUUUAGAUCAAUUAUAAAUAUUCUUAUGGAUAAGUUAGACAUUUACCAAUGUUCUUCAUAUGUUUGGUGUUCUUUAUCUAUUUGUGUCGUGGAAUAACAAAUCAGAAACAAUCGUGAGGAUAUCCCUCGAGUCUAAUAGCUCGUACGCUUGUAUUUAGUGAAGGACGUGCAUUUUGACCGAGGGAGUAAAACAGUGCUUACAAUAGAAUAGUGCUAACAGUGCUGACAAUAAUAUAGUGCUACAUUUGUAUAUGUCAGUACAAUGGUCCUGUAGUUAACAUUGUUGUUGUGCCGGCUCACAAUUAAUAAUCACUCUCCUUCUUGUAUAUAGCUUUGUAUCAAUAAACGUUUUUAUCUAUAACUUGA
Molecule: long non-coding RNA, 1617 nt
Organism: Mizuhopecten yessoensis (Yesso scallop)
Lineage: Eukaryota; Metazoa; Mollusca; Bivalvia; Pectinida; Pectinidae
Exons: 3
Source: RefSeq, a predicted model, not a curated record